Saccostrea cuccullata (small rock oyster) is the source of this 671-nucleotide long non-coding RNA. RefSeq lists it as uncharacterized. The transcript has 4 exons. NCBI's taxonomy places the organism in Eukaryota, Metazoa, Mollusca, Bivalvia, Ostreida, Ostreidae. The record is from RefSeq and is a predicted model, not a curated record.
GGAACAUGCCUCUUCCUAAACAAUGGUAAGGCUGUCCACUACAGUGGGGCCAGUCUACUUCAUUGGAGGAGUGUUAGACUAGACAUCACCCUGAAUGCUGGGGACAUAGCGGGUAUAGGGUGGGAGAGGACAGGAGAGUCCCCCGUACAGGGACAGACCCCCAGGGGGAGGUUCUACUUCAGUGGAGGAGUAUUAGACUAGACAUCACCCUGAAUGCUGGGGACAUAACGGGUAUAGGGUGGGAGAGGACAGGAGAGUCCCCUGUACAGGGACAGACCCCCAGGGGGAGGUUCUACUUCACGUAUAAUGGGCACCGCCUCAAUGCCUACAUGGAUGAUGUGUUGGGUGGAAUGUAUCCUGUUGUUCAUAUUCAGAAAAAGAACACAAGAAUCGGAGCAAACUUUGGAACGAGGCCUUUUGCUUUUGCCGAGGGAUAGCAACACAAGGAGGGGGCUGAUGCAGUGAAUGACCUGACCAGAGAGAUCAGGGAGAGUUUCUGUCACCUGCCAUUCCACCCCCACACUGACAAAGAGAACAAGGGAAGCCCCCAGCCCUGAUUCCACCAUGGUGGAGGAAAUCAAAGCCCCGAAAGGACCCCAAUGUAAAACUGCUACCAUACCAAAACCACAGAAUGUGUACAACCCAGAAGAUCGUCUAGCUUUCAAGCUGUU